GGCCCAAUAGCUCUAGCGGCAGAGCGUCGGUCUUGUAAACCGAAGGUCAGGAGUUCGAAUCUCCUUUGGGCCA
Molecule: transfer RNA, 73 nt
Rfam family: tRNA
About the family: Transfer RNA (tRNA) molecules are approximately 80 nucleotides in length. Their secondary structure includes four short double-helical elements and three loops (D, anti-codon, and T loops).
Source: Rfam